This 2352-nucleotide ribosomal RNA is filed under the name fermentation metagenome. RNAcentral describes it as "bacterial LSU rRNA". It matches the Rfam family "Bacterial large subunit ribosomal RNA", at positions 14 to 2309 of the family's 2925-position model. The record is from RNAcentral.
AGGGCAUACGGUGGAUGCCUUGGUACCAACAGCCGAAGAAGGACGUGGCAAGCUGCGAGAAGCUGCGGCGAGGCGCAAGCGGCCUUUGACCCGCAGAUGUCCGAAUGGGGCAACCCACCUGGAGUAGUCCAGGUAUCCCGUAAGGGAAGGAACCCGGAGAAGUGAAACAUCUCAGUAUCCGGAGGAAGAGAAAUCGAAGAGAUUCCCUAAGUAGUGGUGAGCGAACGGGGAAGAGCCUAAACCAUAUACAUGUAAGGCUGCGGUCGUUGUGUAUAUGGUGUAGAGGGGCUUUUCAUGCAUAGUCCGCAGGCUAGGCACGGAGUUAUCAAGAUACUUUUUAGCAGAACUGUGUUGGGAAAGCAGGCCAUAGACGGUGAGAGCCCGGUAUGCGACAGAGAGUAUCCUCCGAGAAGAGUUCCCGAGUAGGCCGGAGCACGUGGAAUUCCGGUUGAAUCAGGGUGGACCAUCAUCCAAGGCUAAAUACUGUUGGUGACCGAUAGUGGAUGAGUACCGAGAGGGAAGGGUGAAAAGCACCCCUGGCGGGGAGUGAAAUAGACCUGAACCCGUAUGCCUACAAGCAAUCGGAGCAAGAGAUGCCGCGAGGCAUUGAAUGUGACGGUGUGCCUUUUGUAAAAUGAGCCGGCGAGUUAUUAGACGUAGCGAGGUUAAGGUGCGUAUGUGCACUGGAGCCGUAGGGAAACCGAGUCUGAAUAGGGCGCAAGUUUCGUUUAAUAGACCCGAAGCCGCACGAUCUAUCCAUGGCCAGGUUGAAGUCCGGGUGAAGCCGGAUGGAGGACCGAACCAGUUUCUGUUGAAAAAGAUUUGGAUGAGCUGUGGAUCGGAGUGAAAAGCUAAUCGAGUGCGGUGAUAGCUGGUUCUCCCCGAUAUGCAUUGAGGUGCAGCCUUACGGAAUUGAGAUAUGGGGGUAGAGCACUGGAUGGACGCGGGGGACUGGGGUCCUACCAAAUUCAACCAAACUUCGAAUACCAUAUUUUGUACCGUAGGAGUGAGACUACGGGUGAGAAGGUCCGUGGUCGUGAGGGAAACAGCCCAGACCGUCAGCUAAGGUCCCAAAGCGUAUGCUAAGUGUGGCAAGGAUGUGAGAGUGCCUGGACAGCCAGGAGGUUGGCUUAGAAGCAGCCACCCUUUAAAGAGUGCGUAACAGCUCACUGGUCGAGGACUUUUGCGCCGAGAAUGUAGGGGGCUAAGCAUACUGCCGAAGCUGCGGGAUAUGUGCAAGAGUGUAUAUAUCGGUAGGGGAGCGUUCCAUACGGGGCGAAGCAGAGCCGCGAGGUCAUGUGGACUGUAUGGAAGUGAGAAUGCUGGCAUGAGUAACGCGAAGUGCGUGAGAAACGUACUCACCGGAAGCCCAAGGGUUCCUGGGGAAGGUUCAUCCGCCCAGGGUUAGGCGGGACCUAAGGCGAGGCCGAGAGGCGUAGUCGAUGGAUAGCAGGUAGAUAUUCCUGUCCCAGCCAAUGAGCGUUAAUACCGAAGGGGUGACACAGAAAGCUAGGUGAUCCGGGUGAUGGAAGUCCCGGUCCAAGGGUGUAGGGAGUUUCCGCAGGCAAAUCCGCGGGAAUAAUUCUGAGACCUGAUGGGGAGGCCCUACGGGGUCGAAGUCAUUGAAGCUCGGCUGUCGAGAAAAGCCUCUAGGGAGUUUGUUGGUUGCUCGUACCCGAAACCGACACAGGUGGGCUAGCUGAGGAAGCUAAGGUGAGCGGGAAAACCCUCGUUAAGGAACUCUGCAAGUUGACCCCGUAACUUCGGGAGAAGGGGUGCCACUCUGGUGAAAUAUAAUCAUAUGGAGCUAAGGGUGGUCGCAGAAACCAGGCUCAGGCGACUGUUUACUAAAAACACAGGUCUCUGCAUAAGGCGUAAGCCGAAGUAUAGGGACUGACACCUGCCCGGUGCUGGAAGGUUAAAUGGAGAGGUUAGCGUAAGCGAAGCCUUGAUAUGAAGCCCCAGUAAACGGCGGCCGUAACUAUAACGGUCCUAAGGUAGCGAAAUUCCUUGUCGGGUAAGUUCCGACCUGCACGAAUGGUGUAACGAUCUGAGCACUGUCUCAACGAGGGACCCGGUGAAAUUGUGGUACUGGUAAAGACGCCAGUUACCUGUGGUGGGACGGAAAGACCCCGUGGAGCUUUACUGUAGCCUGAUAUUGGAUUUUGGUCUGUCAUGUACAGGAUAGGUGGGAGGCGUAGAAUGGAGGGCGUCAGCCUUUCAGGAGCCGUUGUUGGGAUACCACCCUUGACAUACCGAAGUUCUAACUGUUGAGUCUGAAUCGGCUGGCAGGACAUUGUCAGGUGGGCAGUUUGACUGGGGCGGUCGCCUCCUAAAGAGUAACGGAGGCGC